CCGUAAAGCUUCAGUCCAAAUGAAUAUCCUAAUCCUGAAGAUGUAACGAGCAAUUUGGUAAAAUAAAUUUGUCGUAAUCUUUAAUGGUUGCGAAGGAGUAGAGGCCACAAGAAAAACAGUGUUUGGGGAGAUAACUCUUACAACGUAAAGUAUUUUGUUACACAGUUCUAAAUUUUUAAAGCGUAUAAACUAUACGAUACCAUAUUCCAAAUAUCUAAGCGACAUCUUUUGAAACAUCAAUAAUACGCAAGAAAAAAAAUUAGGCGGAAGAAAAAAAAAAAAAAUAAUAAUAAUAAUCAGAACAAAUUCAAUAGGUCUUUCCACGGAAAGGUGGAAAGACCUAAUAAUUGCGAAAUAUGAAC
Molecule: long non-coding RNA, 362 nt
Filed under: Mytilus galloprovincialis (Mediterranean mussel)
Lineage: Eukaryota; Metazoa; Mollusca; Bivalvia; Mytilida; Mytilidae
Source: RNAcentral